This 1407-nucleotide long non-coding RNA is filed under the name Equus caballus (horse). Its description in RNAcentral is "lncRNA (ENSECAG00000051798.1)". Lineage: Eukaryota; Metazoa; Chordata; Mammalia; Perissodactyla; Equidae. The record is from RNAcentral.
ACCAGAUGCCUUCCAUCUCUGUGUCUUUGGAAUAAUCGUCCCCCUUGUGUUAAGGCUAAGCUGGAAAGUGAUGCAUCAGCAGAGAGCCAGGCAGAGGAUCAAAGGUGGAACAUGACAGGCCCCUCUCUCUUUCUUCAUCCAAAUGGCUACUGCUCUGAUUGUCCAUUAUUCGAUCAACUAUUAACCCCAGGGAACAAAAUCUAGAAUUUCCUAGGAAGGCAUUAUUAGCCUCUUUUCCUGCAGACAUUGUGGUGCAUCUUGGGAAGAGAAACUCAAAUUAGCCACCAAAAGGGGUAAACCAAAUAAAGGAUAUGAGAAGCCCAAAGCCAAUUUCUUCUUGCCUGAAGGAUUGUGACAGCAAGAUAUCAGAGAGGGGCCUGAGGGGAGAGUGGCCCCCUGGCACUGAGGUUCGCAUGCUGGGCAGAAGUUCACAUGCCCCAUGGAUGACAUAGACGUGGUGAUGACCGUGAGAGCCUGGCUUUCCGCAUCUCAGCAGCUGUCAACGUUUCCAGAUGACUGGCGCUCGCCCUCUCCCCACGCCCCACGCCAAACAAAGCUCCCAAACUUUGCUGCAGUAUUUGACCUUGGAGCAGAAGAGAGAAAGUCCAAAUACUGACUGAGGUUGGAUUUCCUGACAGCCUUUCUGGGUGGCUGCUUGGAGUCAAGUUUAAGUUAAUUAAAGAAAAUAAGUUGCCCAAGUGUUUUGAAUGGAGCCCAUUGCACCUCUCACAGUCUAACAGAAUUAGGACUAAUACAAGAUUGGCCCGUCAGCCCUGCAUUUCCCAUAGCCGGCCCACCACUCUUGAAGCCGCAUCAGGACCUGACAGCCAUUAUGCCAGUAUUGUCUGCUUGUUGUUUGUAAUUGCCCCAUUGGCCUAUAUGCACUAAUAUUAAGAUCUGUAUUUUUGAUUUUUACUUUAUUUCUCUGAUUAUUGAAAUAAAAUAUGUUCACUCUAGAAAAUUAGGAAAUGCACAAGUCCUUCAUGGAGAAUUAAAAAUGUUUCUCAGAAAUUAACUUCUGAUUUUUUGGCCUGAAUUAUUUUAUUUUUCCUGUAAACUCAUAAAUACUUCAGUAAGACUGUAGUCGAUGCCAGAGACUGUUCUAAGGGCUUCACAUUCAUUUAAUUUUCAUGACCCUGCGAAUUCUGUAAUUUACAACAUUUUUUGAUAAGGACUCUGAGGCUCAGAGCAAUUAACUAAGUUUGCCAAUGUCACACGGGAAAUAAAGGACAGUGGUAGCACUUGAACCCAGGGCUUUUGAAUCUUUCAUUCAAAUACAAUAGUGCCUUAGUCUGAGCUAAAUGAUACAUAUGUUUUGUUGUCUUUUUUCCCAUUAAUAUUACAAUGAUAUAAACACUUCCACUUGUCAUUAAAAUAUUUUCAUAAAUGUCAUGCUUAAUAACUGAA